UACAGAGGUCCCAAGCGUUGUUCGGAUUCACUGGGCGUAAAGGGUGCGUAGGUGGUCAGGUAAGUCUGAUGUGAAAGCUCUGGGCUCAACCCAGAAAUGGCAUUGGAUACUAUCUAGCUAGAGGAAUGGAGGGGGGACUGGAAUACUUGGUGUAGCAGUGAAAUGCGUAGAUAUCAAGUGGAACACCAGUGGCGAAGGCGAGUCCCUGGACAUUUCCUGACACUGAGGCACGAAAGCUAGGGGAGCAAACAGG
Molecule: ribosomal RNA, 253 nt
Filed under: uncultured bacterium
Lineage: Bacteria
Description: partial 16S ribosomal RNA
Rfam family: Bacterial small subunit ribosomal RNA
Source: RNAcentral